GCUAGCAUCCCAUAAACAAUUAGCUUAUUAAAAGCAAAGCACUGAAAAUGCUUAGAUGGA
RNAcentral lists this transfer RNA (60 nucleotides) under Neodon forresti (Forrest's mountain vole). Its description in RNAcentral is "tRNA-Phe". The record is from RNAcentral. Lineage: Eukaryota; Metazoa; Chordata; Mammalia; Rodentia; Cricetidae.